Molecule: ribosomal RNA, 305 nt
Filed under: uncultured bacterium
Lineage: Bacteria
Description: bacterial SSU rRNA
Rfam family: Bacterial small subunit ribosomal RNA
Source: RNAcentral
UGUUCCUACGGGACGCAGCAGUCGAGAAUCAUUCACAAUGGGGGAAACCCUGAUGGUGCGACGCCGCGUGGGGGAAUGAAGGUCUUCGGAUUGUAAACCCCUGUCAUGUGGGAGCAAAUUAAAAAGAUAGUACCACAAGAGGAAGAGACGGCUAACUCUGUGCCAGCAGCCGCGGUAAUAUAGAGGUCUCAAGCGUUGUUCGGGAUCACUGGGCGUAAAGCGGGCGUAGGCUGUUUCGUAAGUCGUGUGUGAAAGGCGUGAGCUCAACUCGCGGACGGCACAUGAUACUGCGAGACUAGAGUAAU